GACGAACGCUGGCGGCGUGCUUAACACAUGCAAGUCGAACGGAAAGGCCCUGCUUGCAGGGUACUCGAGUGGCGAACGGGUGAGUAACACGUGGGUGAUCUGCCCUGCACUUCGGGAUAAGCCUGGGAAACUGGGUCUAAUACCGGAUAGGAGCCAUUUUUAGUGUGAUGGUUGGAAAGUUUUUUCGGUGUAGGAUGAGCUCGCGGCCUAUCAGCUUGUUGGUGGGGUAAUGGCCUACCAAGGCGGCGACGGGUAGCCGGCCUGAGAGGGUGGACGGCCACAUUGGGACUGAGAUACGGCCCAGACUCCUACGGGAGGCAGCAGUGGGGAAUAUUGCACAAUGGGCGCAAGCCUGAUGCAGCGACGCCGCGUGGGGGAUGACGGCCUUCGGGUUGUAAACUCCUUUCGCUAGGGACGAAGCU
RNAcentral lists this ribosomal RNA (422 nucleotides) under uncultured bacterium. RNAcentral's name for it is "bacterial SSU rRNA". It matches the Rfam family "Bacterial small subunit ribosomal RNA", at positions 28 to 452 of the family's 1533-position model. The record is from RNAcentral.